RNAcentral lists this ribosomal RNA (253 nucleotides) under Salmonella enterica subsp. enterica serovar Kentucky. RNAcentral describes it as "partial 23S ribosomal RNA". It matches the Rfam family "Bacterial large subunit ribosomal RNA", at positions 657 to 909 of the family's 2925-position model. Lineage: Bacteria; Pseudomonadati; Pseudomonadota; Gammaproteobacteria; Enterobacterales; Enterobacteriaceae. The record is from RNAcentral.
AUAGGGGAGCCGGAGGGAAACCGAGUCUUAAUUGGGCGUUAAGUUGCAGGGUAUAGACCCGAAACCCGGUGAUCUAGCCAUGGGCAGGUUGAAGGUUGGGUAACACUAACUGGAGGACCGAACCGACUAAUGUUGAAAAAUUAGCGGAUGACCUGUGGCUGGGGGUGAAAGGCCAAUCAAACCGGGAGAUAGCUGGUUCUCCCCGAAAGCUAUUUAGGUAGCGCCUCGUGAAUUCAUCUCCGGGGGUAGAGCA